This 279-nucleotide ribosomal RNA is filed under the name uncultured bacterium. RNAcentral describes it as "partial 16S ribosomal RNA". It matches the Rfam family "Bacterial small subunit ribosomal RNA", at positions 506 to 784 of the family's 1533-position model. The record is from RNAcentral.
UGCCAGCAGCCGCGGUAACACGAACCGUCCAAACGUUAUUCGGAAUAACUGGGCUUAAAGGGUUCGUAGGCGGCUAUGAAGGUGGGGUGUGAAAUCCCUCGGCUCAACCGAGGAACUGCGCUCCAAACCACAUGGCUUGAGGGAGACAGAGGUAAGCGGAACUGAUGGUGGAGCGGUGAAAUGCGUUGAUAUCAUCAGGAACACCAGUGGCGAAGGCGGCUUACUGGGUCUCUUCUGACGCUGAGGAACGAAAGCUAGGGGAGCGAACGGGAUUAGAUA